GAUGAACGCUGGCGGCGUGCCUAAUACAUGCAAGUCGAGCGAACGGACGAGAAGCUUGCUUCUCUGAUGUUAGCGGCGGACGGGUGAGUAACACGUGGAUAACCUACCUAUAAGACUGGGAUAACUUCGGGAAACCGUAGCUAAUACCGGAUAAUAUUUUGAACCGCAUGGUUCAAAAGUGAAAGACGGUCUUACUGUCACUUAUAGAUGGAUCCGCGCUGCAUUAGCUAGUUGGUAAGGUAACGGCUUACCAAGGCAACGAUGCAUAGCCGACCUGAGGGGGUGAUCGGCCACACUGGAACUGAGACACGGUCCAGACUCCUACGGGAGGCAGCAGUAGGGAAUCUUCCGCAAUGGGCGAAAGCCUGACGGAGCAACGCCGCGUGAGUGAUGAAGGUCUUCGGAUCGUAAAACUCUGUUAUUAGGGAAGAACAUAUGUGUAAGUAACUGUGCACAUCUUGACGGUACCUAAUCAGAAAGCCACGGCUAACUACGUG
This 497-nucleotide ribosomal RNA is filed under the name uncultured bacterium. RNAcentral's name for it is "partial 16S ribosomal RNA". It matches the Rfam family "Bacterial small subunit ribosomal RNA", at positions 28 to 507 of the family's 1533-position model. The record is from RNAcentral.